Etheostoma cragini (Arkansas darter) is the source of this 137-nucleotide long non-coding RNA. RefSeq lists it as uncharacterized. NCBI's taxonomy places the organism in Eukaryota, Metazoa, Chordata, Actinopteri, Perciformes, Percidae. The transcript is spliced from 2 exons. The record is from RefSeq and is a predicted model, not a curated record.
AUUGUUUUAAUAAGCUAGAGAAAAGUAAUUUCACUUGUUAUUGUUGAUUCAGAUUUUAGAUUAUGGGAGAUGAUCCACAAAAGCCUACAUGGUCGGAACAAUGGGACGUCGGAGCAGAGGGUUUAUUUCUUUCAAAA